CUUGGUCAUUUAGAGGAAGUAAAAGUCGUAACAAGGUUUCCGUAGGUGAACCUGCGGAAGGAUCAUUAUCGUAAAACCGAGGUGCGAGGGCUGUCGCUGACCGUUUCGGUCGUGCACGCCCGAGUGCUCUCACACAAUCCAUCUCACCCCUUGUGCACCACCGCGUGGGUCCCUUUCCGGCUCCUCCGGAGGGGGGCUCGCGUUUUCACACAAACUUGAAGUAGUGUAGAAUGUCCUUUUUUGCGAUAACACGCAAUCAAUACAACUUUCAACAACGGAUCUCUUGGCUCUCGCAUCGAUGAAGAACGCAGCGAAAUGCGAUACGUAAUGUGAAUUGCAGAAUUCAGUGAAUCAUCGAAUCUUUGAACGCACCUUGCGCCCCUUGGCAUUCCGAGGGGCACACCCGUUUGAGUGCCGUGAAAUCAUCAAAACCUUCUCUUUGACCCUCUUUGGUCGGGAAAAGGAUUUUUGGACUUGGAGGUUCCAUGCUCGCCUUCACUUUUGAAAGCGAGCUCCUCUCAAAUGAAUUAGUGGGGUCCGCUUUGCUGGUCCUUGACGUGAUAAGAUGUUUCUGCGUUUUGGAUUUAGCACUGUCCCUUGGAUGCCUGCUCCUAACUGUCUCACGGAUAAUGAUGGUGCUCUGGUCACCGCCGUUUACAUCGGCGGGAGGCUGGACCCACAAAAAGAAAACCUUGACCUCAAAUCGGGUGAGACUACCCGCUGAACUUAAGCAUAUCAAUAAGCGGAGG
RNAcentral lists this ribosomal RNA (749 nucleotides) under uncultured Russula. RNAcentral describes it as "eukaryotic LSU rRNA". The stretch from base 264 to 417 matches the Rfam family "5.8S ribosomal RNA". Lineage: Eukaryota; Fungi; Basidiomycota; Agaricomycetes; Russulales; Russulaceae. The record is from RNAcentral.